This 162-nucleotide ribosomal RNA is filed under the name Taraxacum stupendum. RNAcentral describes it as "5.8S ribosomal RNA". It matches the Rfam family "5.8S ribosomal RNA". From Rfam's summary of the family: 5.8S ribosomal RNA (5.8S rRNA) is a component of the large subunit of the eukaryotic ribosome. It is transcribed by RNA polymerase I as part of the 45S precursor that also contains 18S and 28S rRNA. Functionally, it is thought that 5.8S rRNA may be involved in ribosome translocation. The record is from RNAcentral. Lineage: Eukaryota; Viridiplantae; Streptophyta; Magnoliopsida; Asterales; Asteraceae.
AAACGACUCUCGGCAACGGAUAUCUCGGCUCACGCAUCGAUGAAGAACGUAGCAAAAUGCAAUACUUGGUGUGAAUUGCAGAAUCCCGUGAACCAUCGAGUUUUUGAACGCAAGUUGCGCCCGAAGCCAUCCGGUUGAGGGCACGCCUGCCUGGGCGUCACG